RNAcentral lists this long non-coding RNA (1614 nucleotides) under Oryza sativa Indica Group (long-grained rice). RNAcentral describes it as "lncRNA OsIR64_05g0028960". The record is from RNAcentral. Lineage: Eukaryota; Viridiplantae; Streptophyta; Magnoliopsida; Poales; Poaceae. RNAcentral also lists the same sequence under 1 other name.
AUGGACCAAUCGACAUCGAAAAACAAGAAUUCCUCCAAUCUACAAGACCCCCAAAAUAUGGGAAUAAACCAGCCCAUGCUACUCUUUGAAGAUCCUCCCCAAGCUUCCGGGAACAAAGGACGAGUCCAAGCCUCACUAAAGCCUGAAGACUACACCAUCAAUCUGAAUCACCUCAAGCAAUAUUCUUCGAAUGAAAGGUGCCACCUGACUCCAGCAAAACGAAGGAUAAAUGUCACGUGUUAUAGAUGUGGCGAGAAAGGACAUUGUGCCUUGGAUUGCCCUAAGAAAAAGCUAGGAAAUGGACAAGUAAGGAAUAUACCUCGAUACCCAAAAAGGAAAAUGAGGGCAGGAAUACCACCAAAACCGAUGCCACAUUCACUCUAUCCAAAACCUAUGUAUCAGCAAUUUCGUAGACAAGGAACUAUACCACAUUGGUGGAAGGGAAAACGGAAAAGAAAAGCGUCAUCACUAAUAACAUAUGCUGAACUUGACCUCAGUAGAAUGGGAAUAGAAAUCGACAUGGACCAAUCGACAUCGAAAAACAAGAAUUCCUCCAAUCUACAAGACCCCCAAAAUAUGGGAAUAAACCAGCCCAUGCUACUCUUUGAAGAUCCUCCCCAAGCUUCCGGGAACAAAGGACGAGUCCAAGCCUCACUAAAGCCUGAAGACUACACCAUCAAUCUGAAUCACCUCAAGCAAUAUUCUUCGAAUGAAAGGUGCCACCUGACUCCAGCAAAACGAAGGAUAAAUGUCACGUGUUAUAGAUGUGGCGAGAAAGGACAUUGUGCCUUGGAUUGCCCUAAGAAAAAGCUAGGAAAUGGACAAGUAAGGAAUAUACCUCGAUACCCAAAAAGGAAAAUGAGGGCAGGAAUACCACCAAAACCGAUGCCACAUUCACUCUAUCCAAAACCUAUGUAUCAGCAAUUUCGUAGACAAGGAACUAUACCACAUUGGUGGAAGGGAAAACGGAAAAGAAAAGCGUCAUCACUAAUAACAUAUGCUGAACUUGACCUCAGUAGAAUGGGAAUAGAAAUCGACAUGGACCAAUCGACAUCGAAAAACAAGAAUUCCUCCAAUCUACAAGACCCCCAAAAUAUGGGAAUAAACCAGCCCAUGCUACUCUUUGAAGAUCCUCCCCAAGCUUCCGGGAACAAAGGACGAGUCCAAGCCUCACUAAAGCCUGAAGACUACACCAUCAAUCUGAAUCACCUCAAGCAAUAUUCUUCGAAUGAAAGGUGCCACCUGACUCCAGCAAAACGAAGGAUAAAUGUCACGUGUUAUAGAUGUGGCGAGAAAGGACAUUGUGCCUUGGAUUGCCCUAAGAAAAAGCUAGGAAAUGGACAAGUAAGGAAUAUACCUCGAUACCCAAAAAGGAAAAUGAGGGCAGGAAUACCACCAAAACCGAUGCCACAUUCACUCUAUCCAAAACCUAUGUAUCAGCAAUUUCGUAGACAAGGAACUAUACCACAUUGGUGGAAGGGAAAACGGAAAAGAAAAGCGUCAUCACUAAUAACAUAUGCUGAACUUGACCUCAGUAGAAUGGGAAUAGAAAUCGGUGAUUUGCCUGAAGAAGUUGAAGAACUACAACUAUGGCAACGAAAGAGAGAUGGCUGU